UGGGGAAUAUUGCACAAUGGAGGGAACUCUGAUGCAGCGACGCCGCGUGAGUGAUGAAGGAAUUCGUUUCGUAAAACUCUGUUCUAUGGGAAGAAAAGGACUGUACCAUAGGAGAAAGCUCCGGCUAAAUACGUGCCAGCAGCCGCGGUAAUACGUAUGGAGCGAGCGUUGUCCGGAAUUAUUGGGCGUAAAGGGUGCGCAGGCGGCUUUACAAGUUGGAUGUGAAAUAUUGUGGCUCAACCACAAACGUGCAUCCAAAACUGCAAAGCUUGAGUUAAGGAGAUGUAAGUGGAAUUCCUGGUGUAGCGGUGGAAUGCGUAGAUAUCAGGAGGAAUACCGGUGGCGAAGGCGACUUACUGGCCUUAAACUGACGCUCAGGCACGAAAGCGUGGGGAGCAAACAGG
This 404-nucleotide ribosomal RNA is filed under the name Fusobacteriota bacterium. RNAcentral describes it as "Fusobacteria bacterium partial 16S ribosomal RNA". It matches the Rfam family "Bacterial small subunit ribosomal RNA", at positions 355 to 776 of the family's 1533-position model. Lineage: Bacteria; Fusobacteriati; Fusobacteriota. The record is from RNAcentral.